This 1492-nucleotide ribosomal RNA is filed under the name uncultured bacterium. RNAcentral's name for it is "16S ribosomal RNA". It matches the Rfam family "Bacterial small subunit ribosomal RNA". The record is from RNAcentral.
AGAGUUUGAUCCUGGCUCAGGAUGAACGCUAGCUACAGGCUUAACACAUGCAAGUCGAGGGGCAGCAUGGUCUUAGCUUGCUAAGGCCGAUGGCGACCGGCGCACGGGUGAGUAACGCGUAUCCAACCUGCCUUACACUCUUGGACAGCCUUCUGGAAGGGAGAUUAAUACAAGAUGUUAUCAUGAGUAAGCAUUUUCGCAUGAUUAAAGGUUUACCGGUGUAAGAUGGGGAUGCGUUCCAUUAGAUAGUAGGCGGGGUAACGGCCCACCUAGUCUUCGAUGGAUAGGGGUUCUGAGAGGAAGGUCCCCCACAUUGGAACUGAGACACGGUCCAAACUCCUACGGGAGGCAGCAGUGAGGAAUAUUGGUCAAUGGACGAGAGUCUGAACCAGCCAAGUAGCGUGAAGGAUGAAGGUUCUAUGGAUUGUAAACUUCUUUUAUACGGGAAUAAACGGAUCCACGCGUGGAUUUUUGCAUGUACCGUAUGAAUAAGGAUCGGCUAACUCCGUGCCAGCAGCCGCGGUAAUACGGAGGAUCCGAGCGUUAUCCGGAUUUAUUGGGUUUAAAGGGAGCGUAGAUGGGUUGUUAAGUCAGUUGUGAAAGUUUGCGGCUCAACCGUAAAAUUGCAAUUGAUACUGGCAGUCUUGAGUACAGUUGAGGUAGGCGGAAUUCGUGGUGUAGCGGUGAAAUGCUUAGAUAUCACGAAGAACUCCGAUUGCGAAGGCAGCUUACUAACCUGUAACUGACAUUGAUGCUCGAAAGUGUGGGUAUCAAACAGGAUUAGAUACCCUGGUAGUCCACACGGUAAACGAUGAAUACUCGCUGUAGGCGAUAUACAGUCUGCGGCCAAGCGAAAGCAUUAAGUAUUCCACCUGGGGAGUACGCCGGCAACGGUGAAACUCAAAGGAAUUGACGGGGGCCCGCACAAGCGGAGGAACAUGUGGUUUAAUUCGAUGAUACGCGAGGAACCUUACCCGGGCUUAAAUUGCAACCGAAUAUGGCGGAAACGCUAUAGCUAGCAAUAGCGGUUGUGAAGGUGCUGCAUGGUUGUCGUCAGCUCGUGCCGUGAGGUGUCGGCUUAAGUGCCAUAACGAGCGCAACCCUUGCCGAUAGUUACUAACAGGUUAUGCUGAGGACUCUGUCGGGACUGCCAUCGUAAGAUGUGAGGAAGGUGGGGAUGACGUCAAAUCAGCACGGCCCUUACGUCCGGGGCUACACACGUGUUACAAUGGGGGGUACAGAGGGCUGCUACCACGCAAGUGGAUGCCAAUCCCAAAAACCUCUCUCAGUUCGGAUUGAAGUCUGCAACCCGACUUCAUGAAGCUGGAUUCGCUAGUAAUCGCGCAUCAGCCACGGCGCGGUGAAUACGUUCCCGGGCCUUGUACACACCGCCCGUCAAGCCAUGGGAGCCGGGGGUACCUGAAGUGCGUAACCGCAAGGAGCGCCCUAGGGUAAAACUGGUGACUGGGGCUAAGUCGUAACAAGGUAGCCG